CCCAUCCAAACACAAGGCUGGCACUGAAUGACUCAAGCAUCAGCGACUGGUGGCUUCUGACCCUGGGUGAGAAGAGUUGACCCCAGAGGCAGGAGGAAGGAAACCAUAUCGUAAAUACACCCUCAGAGGGCAGGAUGCUUUCUGAGCACUCAGGCUGAGGAAGUUGCUUCAAAGCAGACUCAAGAAACUGCUGGUUGCUGCUGCUAGAUGACUUCCAACUGCUGUGUCCACACCGAGCCACGCCCAUAUCCUCCCAAGAAGAUAAAACCUUGACAAGUAAGCUACACUGUGAAUUCCAGCGGAGACGGAACAAAGAGAAGAUCCCGAAUAGACAGCUGAAUCACUAAGUGACCUGUGCCUCUCUUUCCUCUUCCUGAAACACCAAGCAGAAAGCAGAGAUUCUCCUUAUCAAAGAGGGAACAGGCUCAAUGACAUAAUUCAUGAGCUCAUAGGAAAAAUGAGGUGAAAAAUGAGAGAAAAAAGGUGUGUGCUGUUAAAGCCAUCGGAAGUUAAAGGCCCUGUCCUGCCUUAUGCCAGAAGCUCCUGUGUGAUAAAGAUAUCACUCUAUAUCUCUCAGUUCUUGAAGUCAAUGAGGUUUUGUUUUUAUCACAUUUAUUUACUGGCCUAUAAAUCUCUAAACACUAUUUAUCUAAAUAGACCAAAUUCAUUUUAACAUAUUUCCCUUAGCUAGAACAGCAAACCUCACUCUAUGGUCCCUUCUGGAAUUCUUAGGAUACAGUGUGGAAAGUAUUUGAAACCAGUUAAAAACACAGAAAUAAUUUCCACGAAACCACAGCAUACUCAGGCACAGAUAUUAAAUUCAUAUAGAAGGAGGCAUUUAAAAAAGAUUCAGAAGCAUUUUGCAAAUUCUGGAUGUUAAGUGCGAGAAAAUAUUAUACCCAGAAGGGUAUAACAAGCAUGUACAAAAUUAAAUCAGCAGAUAGAAUCUAAACGUUAUCAAAAAUAUGAUGAACCGGAUGAGGUGGCACAUGCCUGUAAUCCCAGAAACUCAGGAGGCUGUGGCAGGAGGAUCAUGGUUUCAAAGUCAGCCUCAAAAACUUAGUAAGGCCCUGUUUCAAAAUAAAAAGGGGACGUGGCUCAGU
Molecule: long non-coding RNA, 1103 nt
Organism: Marmota monax (woodchuck)
Lineage: Eukaryota; Metazoa; Chordata; Mammalia; Rodentia; Sciuridae
Exons: 3
Source: RefSeq, a predicted model, not a curated record